RNAcentral lists this ribosomal RNA (287 nucleotides) under uncultured bacterium. RNAcentral's name for it is "partial 16S ribosomal RNA". It matches the Rfam family "Bacterial small subunit ribosomal RNA", at positions 333 to 621 of the family's 1533-position model. The record is from RNAcentral.
AACGGCCUACGGGGCGCAGCAGUGGGGAAUAUUGCACAAUGGGGGGAACCCUGAUGCAGCGACGCCGCGUGGGUGAAGGAGCACCUCGGUGCGUAAAGCCCUAUCGGCAGGGAAGAAAAGCGAACAGGUUCGCCUGGACGGUACCUGACUAAGAAGCCACGGCUAACUACGUGCCAGCAGCCGCGGUAAUACGUAGGGGGCAAGCGUUAUCCGGAUUUACUGGGUGUAAAGGGCGUGUAGGCGGGAAAGCAAGACAGAUGUGAAAAACAUGGGCUCAACCUGUGGCC